Molecule: ribosomal RNA, 416 nt
Filed under: Paramaxates taiwana
Lineage: Eukaryota; Metazoa; Arthropoda; Insecta; Lepidoptera; Geometridae
Also listed under: 1 other name
Description: eukaryotic LSU rRNA
Source: RNAcentral
CGUGAAACCGUCCAGGGGUAAACCUGCGAAACUCGAAUGAACGAACGGAGAGAUUCAUCGUCAUUCCUCGGCGCACGGGCGUCGGCACGAUGUCUCCGCCCUCGGGCGGCGGGCACGGGCCGCGUUCGUCGCGCUCCGGGGACGGCGUGCACUUCUCUCUCAGUAAUACAUCGCGACCCGUUCGGUGUCGGUGUAAGUGCCCCCCGGGAGCCUUCGCUUCCUUGUGUCGUGGAGACCGCGGGGUGCACCGACCGGCCGCCGGACGGUAUUUCGUACGAAACGCGCACGCGCUUCGGCGCGUCCGGCCCGACGCAAGGCAACGUCGUAUCCCUCCUCCUGCCCGAGUGCGGAAGAGGGUGCGGCGCGCCUGUUGUCGCAGCCGUGCUGUCUCGGACUGUGCGCGUGUCCGUCUGCGA